AAGCCCAGGUGGAAUCUCUGACCUGAAAUGUAUAAAAUUUCCUUUCUUCAAAGUGCUUUUAUUCUCUUGGCAUAGGAACAAAUUGUACCUUGAGGGCCAGAUUUGCAAGUGGAUCCAUAUGGAGAAAUCUUUAUGUAUUGGGAACAUCAUUCAACUCAACGGGACGCUGUGAGGGCACAGAAGCUUGCCAGGUCCAAGCUGCAAUUUGAAAAGUGUUUUGUGCUCCUUCAAGGGGAACCUUUUGAGCCACAGAGGGUCUUUCACCUUGGCUCUGAAGACAGAAUUUGGCCCUUUGCAAUCUGUUCAGCUUCUGCCAGUUUUGCUGUCUGCCUCAGUAUCUGCCCUUGCAAAAUGAAAGAGAGAAGAGGCAUGUGUGAAUCUGGCCCAAGAGGGAAUAAGGAGGAAAGAAAGGUUGGAACCCCUGAAAUGAGCUGAUGGACACAGCCCAGCUUCUGGAGAUAAGAAUUCAUAUCACAAAAGCAGAACACAACAAUUUUAGCAAGAAGGCC
RNAcentral lists this long non-coding RNA (509 nucleotides) under Chloebia gouldiae (Gouldian finch). Its description in RNAcentral is "Erythrura gouldiae (Gouldian finch) lncRNA (ENSEGOG00005006905.1)". The record is from RNAcentral. Lineage: Eukaryota; Metazoa; Chordata; Aves; Passeriformes; Passeridae.